UGAGGAAUAUUGGUCAAUGGCCGCAGGGCUGAACCAGCCAAGUCGCGUGAGGGAUGACGGUCCUAUGGAUUGUAAACCUCUUUUGUCAGGGAGCAAAGGACGCCACGCGUGGUGUUUUGCGAGUACCUGAAGAAAAAGCAUCGGCUAACUCCGUGCCAGCAGCCGCGGUAAUACGGAGGAUGCGAGCGUUAUCCGGAUUUAUUGGGUUUAAAGGGUGCGCAGGCGGAAUGUCAAGUCAGCGGUAAAAUUUCGGGGCUCAACCCCGUCGUGCCGUUGAAACUGGCGUUCUUGAGUGAGCGAGAAGUAUGCGGAAUGCGUGGUGUAGCGGUGAAAUGCAUAGAUAUCACGCAGAACUCCGAUUGCGAAGGCAGCAUACCGGCGCUCAACUGACGCUCAUGCACGAAAGCGUGGGUAUCGAACAGG
This 423-nucleotide ribosomal RNA is filed under the name uncultured bacterium. RNAcentral describes it as "bacterial SSU rRNA". It matches the Rfam family "Bacterial small subunit ribosomal RNA", at positions 355 to 776 of the family's 1533-position model. The record is from RNAcentral.